Molecule: ribosomal RNA, 666 nt
Filed under: Hepatozoon canis
Lineage: Eukaryota; Apicomplexa; Hepatozoidae
Description: SSU rRNA
Rfam family: Eukaryotic small subunit ribosomal RNA
Source: RNAcentral
AUACAUGAGCAAAAUCUCAACUUUAUUAGAAGAGACGCAUUUAUUAGAUAAAAAGCCAAUGCAUGCUUUUACAGUAUGAAAAUUGGUGUUUUAUAAUAACUAAGCAAAUCGCAGAGUGAAAACAGGCGAUAAAUCAUUCAAGUUUCUGACCUAUCAGCUUUUGACGGUAUGGUAUUGGCUUACCGUGGCAGUGACGGUUAACGGGGAACUAGGGUUUGAUUCCGGAGAGGGAGCCUGAGAAACGGCUACCACAUCUAAGGGAGGCAGCAGGCGCGCAAAUUACCCAAUUCUAACAGUUUGAGAGAGGUAGUAACAAGAAAUAACAAUACAGAGCAAUUAAAAUGCUUUGAAAUUGCAAUGAUAGAAAUUUAAACCCUUUUUAAAGUAUCAAUUGGAGGGCAAGACUGGUGCCAGCAGCCGCGGUAAUACCAGCUCCAAUAGCGUAUAUUAAAAUUGUUGCAGUUAAAAAGCUCGUAGUUGAUGUUCUGUUAAAAGUAACCGGUCUGCUUUUAAUAAAAGUGGUAUCUUGGUGUGUAUUUAGCAAUGAUGUCCUUUGAAGUGUUUUUUAUCUAAUUGUAAUAAAGCAUAUUCAGGACUUUUACUUUGAGAAAAUUAGAGUGUUUCUAGCAGGCCGACGCUUUGAAUACUGCAGCAUGGAAUAAUAAG